CAGCCGCCACGGUAAUACGUAGGGUGCAAGCGUUAAUCGGAAUUACUGGGCGUAAAGCGUGCGCAGGCGGUUCGUUAAGACAGAUGUGAAAUCCCCGGGCUUAACCUGGGAACUGCAUUUGUGACUGGCGAGCUAGAGUAUGGCAGAGGGGGGUAGAAUUCCACGUGUAGCAGUGAAAUGCGUAGAGAUGUGGAGGAAUACCGAUGGCGAAGGCAGCCCCCUGGGCCAAUACUGACGCUCAUGCACGAAAGCGUGGGGAGCAAACAGGAUUAGAUACCCCCGUAGUCCCUGUCUCUUAUAC
Molecule: ribosomal RNA, 301 nt
Filed under: uncultured bacterium
Lineage: Bacteria
Description: partial 16S ribosomal RNA
Rfam family: Bacterial small subunit ribosomal RNA
Source: RNAcentral